GGGUCAGCAGGUUGGUCGUGCCUACGGUAUGCACUGGCCUUGCUGAUCCCUCCCUCUUGAUGAGCCGUAAUGUCAUUAAUUUGGUGUUGCGGGGAAUCAGGACUGUUACUUUGAAAAAAUUAGAGUGUUUAAAGCAGGCGUUAGUGCUUGAAUACAUUAGCAUGGAAUAAUAGAAUAGGA
This 180-nucleotide ribosomal RNA is filed under the name uncultured Glomeromycotina. RNAcentral describes it as "partial small subunit ribosomal RNA". The stretch from base 40 to 180 matches the Rfam family "Eukaryotic small subunit ribosomal RNA", at positions 686 to 827 of the family's 1831-position model. Lineage: Eukaryota; Fungi; Glomeromycota. The record is from RNAcentral.